Molecule: ribosomal RNA, 1199 nt
Filed under: Staphylococcus aureus
Lineage: Bacteria; Bacillati; Bacillota; Bacilli; Caryophanales; Staphylococcaceae
Description: partial 23S ribosomal RNA
Rfam family: Bacterial large subunit ribosomal RNA
Source: RNAcentral
UCGAUUCCCUUAGUAGCGGCGAGCGAAACGGGAAGAGCCCAAACCAACAAGCUUGCUUGUUGGGGUUGUAGGACACUCUAUACGGAGUUACAAAGGACGACAUUAGACGAAUCAUCUGGAAAGAUGAAUCAAAGAAGGUAAUAAUCCUGUAGUCGAAAAUGUUGUCUCUCUUGAGUGGAUCCUGAGUACGACGGAGCACGUGAAAUUCCGUCGGAAUCUGGGAGGACCAUCUCCUAAGGCUAAAUACUCUCUAGUGACCGAUAGUGAACCAGUACCGUGAGGGAAAGGUGAAAAGCACCCCGGAAGGGGAGUGAAAUAGAACCUGAAACCGUGUGCUUACAAGUAGUCAGAGCCCGUUAAUGGGUGAUGGCGUGCCUUUUGUAGAAUGAACCGGCGAGUUACGAUUUGAUGCAAGGUUAAGCAGUAAAUGUGGAGCCGUAGCGAAAGCGAGUCUGAAUAGGGCGUUUAGUAUUUGGUCGUAGACCCGAAACCAGGUGAUCUACCCUUGGUCAGGUUGAAGUUCAGGUAACACUGAAUGGAGGACCGAACCGACUUACGUUGAAAAGUGAGCGGAUGAACUGAGGGUAGCGGAGAAAUUCCAAUCGAACCUGGAGAUAGCUGGUUCUCUCCGAAAUAGCUUUAGGGCUAGCCUCAAGUGAUGAUUAUUGGAGGUAGAGCACUGUUUGGACGAGGGGCCCCUCUCGGGUUACCGAAUUCAGACAAACUCCGAAUGCCAAUUAAUUUAACUUGGGAGUCAGAACAUGGGUGAUAAGGUCCGUGUUCGAAAGGGAAACAGCCCAGACCACCAGCUAAGGUCCCAAAAUAUAUGUUAAGUGGAAAAGGAUGUGGCGUUGCCCAGACAACUAGGAUGUUGGCUUAGAAGCAGCCAUCAUUUAAAGAGUGCGUAAUAGCUCACUAGUCGAGUGACACUGCGCCGAAAAUGUACCGGGGCUAAACAUAUUACCGAAGCUGUGGAUUGUCCUUUGGACAAUGGUAGGAGAGCGUUCUAAGGGCGUUGAAGCAUGAUCGUAAGGACAUGUGGAGCGCUUAGAAGUGAGAAUGCCGGUGUGAGUAGCGAAAGACGGGUGAGAAUCCCGUCCACCGAUUGACUAAGGUUUCCAGAGGAAGGCUCGUCCGCUCUGGGUUAGUCGGGUCCUAAGCUGAGGCCGACAGGCGUAGGCGAUGGAUAACAGGUUGAU